CCCUUAGAUGUUCUGGGCUGCACGCGCGCUGCACUGAUACACUCAACGAGUUCCUGUCUUGAAAGAGUCGGGUAAUCAUUUGAGCGUGUAUCGUGAUGGGGAUAGAAUAUUGUAAUUAUUACUCUUCAACGAGGAAUUCCUAGUAGUCACUGUUCAUCAGACAGUGACGACUACGUCCCUGCCCUUUGUACACACCGCCCGUCGCUCCUACCGAUUGGGUGUGCUGGUGAAAUGUUCGGAUCGGCCGUUUGUCGCGGUUUCCGCGGCUCGUGGCUGAGAAGUUCAUUAAACCCUCCCACCUAGAGGAAGGAGAAGUCGUAACA
RNAcentral lists this ribosomal RNA (323 nucleotides) under uncultured eukaryote. RNAcentral describes it as "partial 18S ribosomal RNA". It matches the Rfam family "Eukaryotic small subunit ribosomal RNA", at positions 1470 to 1796 of the family's 1831-position model. The record is from RNAcentral.